UACGGAGGAUGCGAGCGUUAUCCGGAUUUAUUGGGUUUAAAGGGUGCGUAGGCGGGCUGUUAAGUCAGCGGUAAAAGCCCGGGGCUCAACCCCGGCGAGCCGUUGAAACUGGCUGUCUUGGGAUGUCGAGAGGUAUGCGGAAUGCGCAGUGUAGCGGUGAAAUGCUUAGAUAUUGCGCAGAACUCCGAUUGCGAAGGCAGCAUACCGGCGGCGAUCUGACGCUGAGGCACGAAAGCGUGGGUAUCAAACAGG
Molecule: ribosomal RNA, 252 nt
Filed under: uncultured bacterium
Lineage: Bacteria
Description: partial 16S ribosomal RNA
Rfam family: Bacterial small subunit ribosomal RNA
Source: RNAcentral